AAGACCUUUGCGCUUUUGGAGCGGCCGAUGCCUGAUUAGCUUGUUGGUAAGGUAAAAGCUUACCAAGGCUUCGAUCAGUAGCUGGUCUGAGAGGACGACCAGCCACACUGGGACUGAGACACGGCCCAGACUCCUACGGGAGGCAGCAGUGGGGAAUUUUGGACAAUGGGCGCAAGCCUGAUCCAGCCAUGCCGCGUGAGUGAAGAAGGCCUUCGGGUUGUAAAGCUCUUUCAGCCGGGAAGAAAAGGUUGCGAUUAAUAAUCGCAAUUUAUGACGGUACCGGAAGAAGAAGCACCGGCUAACUACGUGCCAGCAGCCGCGGUAAUACGUAGGGUGCGAGCGUUAAUCGGAAUUACUGGGCGUAAAGGGUGCGCAGGCGGUUUUGUAAGUCAGAUGUGAAAUCCCCGGGCUUAACCUGGGAACU
Molecule: ribosomal RNA, 424 nt
Filed under: uncultured bacterium
Lineage: Bacteria
Description: bacterial SSU rRNA
Rfam family: Bacterial small subunit ribosomal RNA
Source: RNAcentral